Molecule: ribosomal RNA, 440 nt
Filed under: uncultured bacterium
Lineage: Bacteria
Description: partial 16S ribosomal RNA
Rfam family: Bacterial small subunit ribosomal RNA
Source: RNAcentral
CCUACGGGUGGCAGCAGUGGGGAAUAUUGCACAAUGGGGGAAACCCUGAUGCAGCGACGCCGCGUGAGCGAAGAAGUAUUUCGGUAUGUAAAGCUCUAUCAGCAGGGAAGAAAAUGACGGUACCUGAGUAAGAAGCUCCGGCUAAAUACGUGCCAGCAGCCGCGGUAAUACGUAGGGAGCAAGCGUUAUCCGGAUUUACUGGGCGUAAAGGGAGCGUAGGCGGCCGUGCAAGUCUGAUGUGAAAUACGGGGGCUCAACCCCGGGACUGCGUUGGAAACUGGCCGGCUGGAGUGCCGGAGAGGUAGGUGGAAUUCCUAGUGUAGCGGUGAAAUGCGUAGAUAUUAGGAGGAACACCAGUGGCGAAGGCGGCUUACUGGACGGUAACUGACGUUGAGGCUCGAAAGCGUGGGGAGCAAACAGGAUUAGAUACCCCAGUAGUC